RNAcentral lists this small nuclear RNA (164 nucleotides) under Erinaceus europaeus (western European hedgehog). Its description in RNAcentral is "U1 spliceosomal RNA (ENSEEUG00000018140.1)". It matches the Rfam family "U1 spliceosomal RNA". From Rfam's summary of the family: U1 is a small nuclear RNA (snRNA) component of the spliceosome (involved in pre-mRNA splicing). The record is from RNAcentral. Lineage: Eukaryota; Metazoa; Chordata; Mammalia; Eulipotyphla; Erinaceidae.
AUACUUACCUGGCAGGCGAGAUACCCUGAUCACAGAGGUGGUUUUCACAGGGCGAGGCUUAUCCAUUGCACUCUGGAUGUGCUGAUCACUGCGAUUUUCCCAAAUGUGGAAACAUUGACUGCAUAAUUUGUGGUAGUGGGGGACUGUGUUCCCACUCUCCCCNN